Molecule: ribosomal RNA, 497 nt
Filed under: uncultured bacterium
Lineage: Bacteria
Description: partial 16S ribosomal RNA
Rfam family: Bacterial small subunit ribosomal RNA
Source: RNAcentral
GAUGAACGCUGGCGGCGUGCCUAAUACAUGCAAGUCGAGCGAACAGACGAGGAGCUUGCUCCUCUGACGUUAGCGGCGGACGGGUGAGUAACACGUGGAUAACCUACCUAUAAGACUGGGAUAACUUCGGGAAACCGGAGCUAAUACCGGAUAAUAUAUUGAACCGCAUGGUUCAAUAGUGAAAGACGGUUUUGCUGUCACUUAUAGAUGGAUCCGCGCCGCAUUAGCUAGUUGGUAAGGUAACGGCUUACCAAGGCAACGAUGCGUAGCCGACCUGAGAGGGUGAUCGGCCACACUGGAACUGAGACACGGUCCAGACUCCUACGGGAGGCAGCAGUAGGGAAUCUUCCGCAAUGGGCGAAAGCCUGACGGAGCAACGCCGCGUGAGUGAUGAAGGUCUUCGGAUCGUAAAACUCUGUUAUUAGGGAAGAACAAAUGUGUAAGUAACUAUGCACAUCUUGACGGUACCUAAUCAGAAAGCCACGGCUAACUACGUG